RNAcentral lists this ribosomal RNA (253 nucleotides) under uncultured bacterium. RNAcentral's name for it is "partial 16S ribosomal RNA". It matches the Rfam family "Bacterial small subunit ribosomal RNA", at positions 524 to 776 of the family's 1533-position model. The record is from RNAcentral.
UACGUAGGGGGCUAGCGUUGUUCGGAAUCACUGGGCGUAAAGGGUGCGUAGGCCGCACGGUAAGUCAGAGGUGAAAUCCCGGAGCUCAACUUCGGAAUUGCCUCCGAUACUGCCGUGCUUGAGGACUGGAGAGGAGUCUGGAAUUCACAGUGGAGCAGUGAAAUGCGUAGAUAUUGUGAGGAACACUAGUGGCGAAGGCGAGACUCUGGACAGUUCCUGACGCUGAGGCACGAAGGCCAGGGGAGCAAACGGG